This 66-nucleotide transfer RNA is filed under the name Hygrotus impressopunctatus. Its description in RNAcentral is "tRNA-His". The record is from RNAcentral. Lineage: Eukaryota; Metazoa; Arthropoda; Insecta; Coleoptera; Dytiscidae.
AUUUAAGUAGUUUAAAAAAAAAUUUUGAUUUGUGGUAUCAAAAAUGUAAUUAUAUUACCUUAAAUU